RNAcentral lists this unclassified non-coding RNA (205 nucleotides) under Hevea brasiliensis (rubber tree). Lineage: Eukaryota; Viridiplantae; Streptophyta; Magnoliopsida; Malpighiales; Euphorbiaceae. The record is from RNAcentral.
ACCGUCUGGUGUAAUGGGAACGAUCAACACUCUCAACCGCCGGUUCGGUCAUCGUCUUUCUCGGCCAAGGUUCUUCGACGCCGACGGCCGGAGGUGGCGUACACUCAACGCAACCUACAAUUUGGCUAUAAAAGGGGAGGUUGAUGGUCUCUUGAGGCUGAUCCCAGAGGAGAUGAAGGCCAGUGGCCGGAGGUCUGGUGGUUAG